Molecule: unclassified non-coding RNA, 208 nt
Filed under: uncultured Agaricales
Lineage: Eukaryota; Fungi; Basidiomycota; Agaricomycetes; Agaricales
Also listed under: 1 other name
Description: sequence contains ITS2
Source: RNAcentral
AAUUCUCAACCUCAUCACUUUUGUGAAUGACGGCUUGGAUGUGGAGGUUUCUGCAGGCCGAAAGGUCUGCUCCUCUCAAAUGAAUUAGUGGGUGCCCCGCGCAAACCUAUCUAUUGGUGUGAUAAUUAUCUACGCCGUGGACUUGGGAUUGCUGUAAAAAGGUGUUUGCCCUGCUUCUAACCGUCCAUUGACUUGGACAACUUGAACC